UCAAAAUUUAGUUGCAUACUAUAUCUGCCUAUUGCUUUCGGAGAACCAGUAGAUGCAACAUUGUGCAAGCUUCCCCACAUUACCCUGCUAUGUGCCUCAACUCUGACAUGGAGGGAUCACUUAUUGGAGUGAAAGGAUAGUACAGUCUCCAUGAUGGUUUGUGCCUUCCAAAGA
RNAcentral lists this small RNA (174 nucleotides) under Chrysemys picta bellii (western painted turtle). RNAcentral's name for it is "TUC338 (ENSCPBG00000004074.1)". The record is from RNAcentral. Lineage: Eukaryota; Metazoa; Chordata; Testudines; Emydidae.